RNAcentral lists this non-coding RNA (29 nucleotides) under Mus musculus (house mouse). The record is from RNAcentral. Lineage: Eukaryota; Metazoa; Chordata; Mammalia; Rodentia; Muridae.
UGCUAAAAUGGGAAACAGGUUGUGCUCUA